This 440-nucleotide ribosomal RNA is filed under the name uncultured bacterium. RNAcentral describes it as "partial 16S ribosomal RNA". It matches the Rfam family "Bacterial small subunit ribosomal RNA", at positions 338 to 795 of the family's 1533-position model. The record is from RNAcentral.
CCUACGGGCGGCAGCAGUGGGGAAUAUUGCACCAUGGGGGAAACCCUGAUGCAGCGACGCCGCGUGAGUGAAGAAGUAAUUCGUUAUGUAAAGCUCUAUCAGCAGGGAAGCAACUGACGGUACCUGAGUUAGAAGCCCCGGCGAACUACGUGCCAGCCGCCGCGGUAAUUAGUAGGGGGCCAGCGUUAUCCGGAUUUACUGGGUGUAAAGGGAGCGUAGACGGCAGUGCAAGUCUGGAGUGAAAGGCCGGGGCUCAACCCCCGGACUGCUCUGGAAACUGUACGGCUGGAGGGCGGGAGGGGUAAGUGGAAUUCCUGGUGUAGCGGUGAAAUGCGUAGAUAUUAGGAGGAACACCAGUGGCGAAGGCGGCUUGCUGGACCGCGACUGACGUUGAGGCUCGAAAGCGUGGGGAGCGAACAGGAUUAGAUACCCUUGUAGUC